Molecule: ribosomal RNA, 252 nt
Filed under: uncultured Bacteroidales bacterium
Lineage: Bacteria; Pseudomonadati; Bacteroidota; Bacteroidia; Bacteroidales
Description: partial 16S ribosomal RNA
Rfam family: Bacterial small subunit ribosomal RNA
Source: RNAcentral
UACGGAGGAUGCGAGCGUUAUCCGGAUUUAUUGGGUUUAAAGGGUGCGCAGGCGGCGUGUCAAGUCAGCGGUAAAAUGUCGGGGCUCAACCCCGGCCGGCCGUUGAAACUGGCAGUCUCGAGUUGGAGAGAAGUAUGCGGAAUGCGCGGUGUAGCGGUGAAAUGCAUAGAUAUCACGCAGAACGCCGAUUGCGAAGGCAGCUUACCGGCGCUCAACUGACGCUGAGGCACGAAAGUGCGGGUAUCGAACAGG